ACCAAAGCAGUGAAAUAUACCCUAAUUUACUGCAGUCUGUUCCCAGGCUAGGGGUCCAAUCGGAGCUGUAGCUGCCAGCCUACGCCAGAGCCACAGCAACGCGGGAUCCGAGCCGCGUCUGCAACCUACACCACAGCUCGCAGCAACGCCGGAUUGUUAACCCACUGAGCAAGGGCAGGGACCGAACCCCCAACCUCAUGGUUCCUAGUCGGAUUCGUUAACCACUGCGCCACGACUGGAACUCCUGCUGUCAUUUCUUGCUGGGUAUGUGCACCUGUCUCUUCCUGGUCCAGCCUCCUCAUAGAAGCCAGAGCCCUCCUGACACACAGGUUAGGUGAUGUGCAGUAUAAAUAUUUCACAAUAUUUAUUCUCAUGGAAUAAAACUCCUUCUUUAGCAAGGUGCCUGAGUUUUUUGUUUCUGGCCCCUGCUUACCUCUCCAUCCUCUUCUCUCCAGUGCGGUUUUUAGAUUUUUGACAUCCUGAACUUUCUGCCUGGAGUGUCCUUGUGUCACUUCUUUGCCUAAUUCCUUUUCAUCUUUUUUAGCAUAAGGAUAAGUCUUUAUGUAACUGUGUAAUUCUGGCAUGUAUAAGUUUAUGGAAUGUUUGGACAAACGUGGGAAUGAAUAAAUGAAUAAAUAAGUAUAAAGAAAAUGGAUUUCUAAAAAUUGUGGUAAAAUACAUGUAACACAAAAUUUACCAUCUUAACUAUUUUUUAGUGUAGAGUUCAGUGACAUUAAGUACAUUCACAUUUUUCUAUAACCAUCACCACCAUCCAUCUCCAGAAUGUUUUUUUCUUGUGGAAACUGAAACUUAGUACCCAUUAAAUGCUAACUCUUCAUUUCCCCCUCCCCCUAAACCCUGGCAGCUACCAUUCUACUUUGUUUCUACAAGUUUGACUACUCCAGAUUCUUCAUAUGAGUGGAAUUAUACAGUAUUUGCCCUUUUGUGACAGGCUUGUUUCACUUAGCAUAAUGUCCUCAAAUUUCACCCAUUUACAUUGUUGAGUAUGUCAGAAUUUCCUUGCUAUUUAAGGUCGAAUGAUAUUCCGUUGCACGUAUAGACCAUUAUUUUGUUUAUGCUUUCAUGUAUUGUUUGUACAAAGAUGUAAUUUGUAGCAUUGUUUGAAAUAGUAAAAGGUUGUAAGCCAUCUAAAAGUCAUGUGAGCAUUUCUGCUGGACACAGUGGGUUAAGAAACCAUCAGUAGCAGCUCGGAUCACUGCAGAGGCACAAGUUCAAUGCCCGGCCUGGUGCAGUGAGUUAAAGGAUCUGGCGUUGCUGCAGCUGUGGUGGAGGUCACAGCUGUGGCUUGGAUUCAAUCUCUGGCCCAGGAACUUCCAUAGACUGCAGGUGUGGCCAUAAAAGUAAGUAAAUAAAAAUAAAUAAAUAUCCAUGUGUAGGGGAUUAGUGAUGUAAAAUAACCUUACAGUAGAAAACUGUGUAGCAGUGAUAAAGAAUGGGGCUUCCCAUCGUGGCUCAGUGGAAAGAAAUCUGACUCAUAUCCAUGAGGAUGCAGGUUCCAUUCCUGGCCUUGCCUUGCUUAGUGUGUUAAAGGAUCCAUUGUUGUGGUGAGCUGUGGUGUAGGUCGCAGACACGGCUUGGAUCUGGCGUUGCUGUGGCAUAGGCUGGCACCUGCACCACCCUAGCCUGGGAACUUCCAUAUGCCUCGGGUGUGGCCCUAAAAAGGCCAAAAAAAAAAAAAAAA
RNAcentral lists this long non-coding RNA (1702 nucleotides) under Sus scrofa (pig). Its description in RNAcentral is "lncRNA (ENSSSCG00055009411.1)". Lineage: Eukaryota; Metazoa; Chordata; Mammalia; Artiodactyla; Suidae. The record is from RNAcentral.